GGAGGAGCACGAAGGUUGGCUAAUCCUGGUCGGACAUCAGGAGGUUAGUGCAAUGGCAUAAGCCAGCUUGACUGCGAGCGUGACGGCGCGAGCAGGUGCGAAAGCAGGUCAUAGUGAUCCGGUGGUUCUGAAUGGAAGGGCCAUCGCUCAACGGAUAAAAGGUACUCCGGGGAUAACAGGCUGAUACCGCCCAAGAGUUCAUAUCGACGGCGGUGUUUGGCACCUCGAUGUCGGCUCAUCACAUCCUGGGGCUGAAGUAGGUCCCAAGGGUAUGGCUGUUCGCCAUUUAAAGUGGUACGCGAGCUGGGUUUAGAACGUCGUGAGACAGUUCGGUCCCUAUCUGCCGUGGGCGCUGGAGAACUGAGGGGGGCUGCUCCUAGUACGAGAGGACCGGAGUGGACGCAUCACUGGUGUUCGGGUUGUCAUGCCAAUGGCACUGCCCGGUAGCUAAAUGCGGAAGAGAUAAGUGCUGAAAGCAUCUAAGCACGAAACUUGC
This 496-nucleotide ribosomal RNA is filed under the name Escherichia coli. Its description in RNAcentral is "partial 23S ribosomal RNA". It matches the Rfam family "Bacterial large subunit ribosomal RNA", at positions 2302 to 2797 of the family's 2925-position model. Lineage: Bacteria; Pseudomonadati; Pseudomonadota; Gammaproteobacteria; Enterobacterales; Enterobacteriaceae. The record is from RNAcentral.